CAGGCUUAAGAGAACUUUUAGCCAAUCUAAUAGAUCAGACAAUAUGCUAGCCAACACCUAGCAGCAUUGGAUUAAAUUGAUUGCGGCCGCUCUUUAGAGAUUGUCUACUUCAUCUUUCAAGUAUCAAAUCAACAUCCCUGCACAAAGUAUAACAUUAGCAUUGAAUAGUAUCAUAAAAAAUGAGAGGCAAAAUAUAUCAACAACCUAAAUAUAUGGACUCACCAUUUCAAAUCUCCAUCCAGAUAUUCUUUUAUUACUCAUUGCAACUGCUACACUAGCUUCCGAGGCUUUAUCCAUUAUCGGGGAGAAAAAGAAUGAAAUCAACCUUGUGCUUGUGGAGGCUCAGUUGACAGACAUGAAAAUAUAUGAGCUCGUAGAGAAAAUGAAAAGCUCUAAUAUUCCAUCUUUCAUUAUGACUGCUUAUGAUGAUGAAAUUUCUUCAAUAUCACAAGCACUACAUACAGGAGCUAAAUGCUAAAUGGUGUUUUAGAAAACCGGUUCAGAUUUCUGAUCUACAACAGCUGUGGCGAUUCACAGUGUGGAACCGAUUUGAACCAUCAAUCAGCAAAGAAGUAUUUGACUGCUGGUAUAGCCUCCGUCAGAGGUGAUUGUGGAAAAAUAAGAUCUCAAAUUUCAACCAUUCAUUCAUCAAUACAAAAGAACAAUCUCUUCAACAAGGAGAAAGGUCUAUCCAGAGUGUAAAUUACGCUGGAUGUUGCAGGAUGAAUAAGAUCUGAGAGGAACAAAAAUGAUGCAGAAGAAAGAACAAAAUUGCGUCAGAUUUGACUAAAAAUGGUGUACAGGAACGAAAAUCAGAACAAAAACAUGUACUGUAAAACAGGACAUAGCAACUAAAUUCUGUUUUGUCAGAAAAAGUGCUCUGCUAGAAUUUCUGUGGCAUGUUUGUGAAAGGUGCCAACGGAGGCACAAAUGCCAACGGAGGCACUAGCCUGUUAUUAGGGUUUAGUGAAGGAGUCAUAUAUAUAAUUGAAUUUGGGUGUACUUUUCCAAUGAGAGAAGACUACAUACACAAAAGCCCGAUAAAUGGUCCGUGAAAUGGAGUUCAAAUUUGCACCCCCUAAGCAAUGCAACAAUU
RNAcentral lists this long non-coding RNA (1096 nucleotides) under Trifolium pratense (red clover). Its description in RNAcentral is "long non-coding RNA (TPRA_LNC012961)". Lineage: Eukaryota; Viridiplantae; Streptophyta; Magnoliopsida; Fabales; Fabaceae. The record is from RNAcentral.